Molecule: long non-coding RNA, 203 nt
Filed under: Elaeis guineensis (African oil palm)
Lineage: Eukaryota; Viridiplantae; Streptophyta; Magnoliopsida; Arecales; Arecaceae
Description: long non-coding RNA (EGUI_LNC018629)
Source: RNAcentral
GAGCCCACAACAAGAUCCAGGAUGACGAAUAGAGUCUAACGAGCCUAAGAACAGUCCAAAUGGAGUCCAGACGGCAAAGAUACGUAUGAAAGAAGAUUGGAGAAGGUGGCACGAUGCACGAGAUGGUGGCGGUAGGCGGCAAGCCAGCGGGGGCCGACGGCAGCAUGGUCGGGCCCGACAGAGAUGCAUGCGCAUAGACACGC